AUUGAACGCUGGCGGCAUGCCUAACACAUGCAAGUCGAGCGGAUGAAGGGAGCUUGUUCCUUGAUUCAGCGGGGGACGGGAGAGUGAUGCCUAUGAAUCUGCCUGUUUGGGGAGGAUGGGGUCAGUCAACGGACGCGGAUACCACAUACGUCUUUAUUCUGAAAGUGGAGGAUCUUCAGACCUCAAGCUAUCUGAUGCGCCUAGGUCGGAUUAGCUAGUUGGUGCGGUAAAGGCCUACCAAGGCGACGAUCCGUAACUGGUCUGAGAGGAUGAUCAGUCACACUGGAACUGAGACACGGUCCAGACUCCUACGGGAGGCAGCAGUGGGGAAUAUUGGACAAUGGGCGAAAGCCUGAUCCAGCCACGCCGCGUGUGUGAAGAAGGUCUUCGGAUUGUAAAGCACUUUUAGUAGGGAAGAAGAGAAGUAUGUGAAUAUGUGCAUAUAUUGACGUUACCUAAAGAAUAAGCACCGGCUAACUACGUG
Molecule: ribosomal RNA, 484 nt
Filed under: uncultured bacterium
Lineage: Bacteria
Description: partial 16S ribosomal RNA
Rfam family: Bacterial small subunit ribosomal RNA
Source: RNAcentral